This 711-nucleotide ribosomal RNA is filed under the name Bacillus amyloliquefaciens. Its description in RNAcentral is "bacterial SSU rRNA". It matches the Rfam family "Bacterial small subunit ribosomal RNA", at positions 59 to 752 of the family's 1533-position model. The record is from RNAcentral. Lineage: Bacteria; Bacillati; Bacillota; Bacilli; Caryophanales; Bacillaceae.
CAGUCGAGCGGACAGAUGGGAGCUUGCUCCCUGAUGUUAGCGGCGGACGGGUGAGUAACACGUGGGUAACCUGCCUGUAAGACUGGGAUAACUCCGGGAAACCGGGGCUAAUACCGGAUGGUUGUUUGAACCGCAUGGUUCAGACAUAAAAGGUGGCUUCGGCUACCACUUACAGAUGGACCCGCGGCGCAUUAGCUAGUUGGUGAGGUAACGGCUCACCAAGGCGACGAUGCGUAGCCGACCUGAGAGGGUGAUCGGCCACACUGGGACUGAGACACGGCCCAGACUCCUACGGGAGGCAGCAGUAGGGAAUCUUCCGCAAUGGACGAAAGUCUGACGGAGCAACGCCGCGUGAGUGAUGAAGGUUUUCGGAUCGUAAAGCUCUGUUGUUAGGGAAGAACAAGUGCCGUUCAAAUAGGGCGGCACCUUGACGGUACCUAACCAGAAAGCCACGGCUAACUACGUGCCAGCAGCCGCGGUAAUACGUAGGUGGCAAGCGUUGUCCGGAAUUAUUGGGCGUAAAGGGCUCGCAGGCGGUUUCUUAAGUCUGAUGUGAAAGCCCCCGGCUCAACCGGGGAGGGUCAUUGGAAACUGGGGAACUUGAGUGCAGAAGAGGAGAGUGGAAUUCCACGUGUAGCGGUGAAAUGCGUAGAGAUGUGGAGGAACACCAGUGGCGAAGGCGACUCUCUGGUCUGUAACUGACGCUGAGGA